GAUUUCCUGCCCGGUGCGCGAAUCGUUGCACAAUAACCCUACAACGCAUUAAAAGGGAGCCCGGCUCCAGCGGCGGAUUGCAGACCUCCCGGCUUUGGCCGGAAGAAGGGAGCGUGAACCCGUUGGGAGGACACCCACCUGCUUAACUGGUAGGCAGGUUAUUAUCGCACCGUUACGGCCGGGCGGGGCCAAA
Molecule: non-coding RNA, 193 nt
Filed under: Yeguia hominis
Lineage: Bacteria; Bacillati; Bacillota; Clostridia; Eubacteriales; Yeguiaceae
Description: 6S / SsrS RNA
Rfam family: 6S / SsrS RNA
About the family: E. coli 6S RNA was the first non coding RNA to be sequenced, but its function was unknown until recently. It consists of 184 nucleotides that fold into an extended hairpin structure with a large single-stranded internal bulge.
Source: Rfam by way of RNAcentral